This 253-nucleotide ribosomal RNA is filed under the name uncultured bacterium. Its description in RNAcentral is "partial 16S ribosomal RNA". It matches the Rfam family "Bacterial small subunit ribosomal RNA", at positions 524 to 776 of the family's 1533-position model. The record is from RNAcentral.
UACGUAGGUGGCGAGCGUUAUCCGGAUUUAUUGGGUGUAAAGGGCGUGUAGGCGGGAGCGCAAGUCAGAUGUGAAAACUCAGGGCUCAACCCUGAGCCUGCAUUUGAAACUGUGUUUCUUGAGUGCUGGAGAGGCAAUCGGAAUUCCGUGUGUAGCGGUGAAAUGCGUAGAUAUACGGAGGAACACCAGUGGCGAAGGCGGAUUGCUGGACAGUAACUGACGCUGAGGCGCGAAAGCGUGGGGAGCAAACAGG